GACGAACGCUGGCGGCGUGCUUAACACAUGCAAGUCGAACGGAAAGGCCCUGCUUUUGUGGGGUGCUCGAGUGGCGAACGGGUGAGUAACACGUGAGUAACCUGCCCUUGACUUUGGGAUAACUUCAGGAAACUGGGGCUAAUACCGGAUAGGAGCUCCUGCUGCAUGGUGGGGGUUGGAAAGUUUCGGCGGUUGGGGAUGGACUCGCGGCUUAUCAGCUUGUUGGUGGGGUAGUGGCUUACCAAGUCUUUGACGGGUAGCCGGCCUGAGAGGGUGACCGGCCACAAUGGGACUGAGAUACGGCCCAGACGCCUACGGGAGGCAGCAGUGGGGAAUAUUGCACAAUGGGCGGAAGCCUGAUGCAGCAACGUCGCGUGCGGGAUGACGGCCUUCGGGUUGUAAACCGCUUUCGCCUGUGACGAAGCGUGAGUGACGGUAAUGGGUAAAGAAGCACCGGCUAACUACGUG
RNAcentral lists this ribosomal RNA (468 nucleotides) under uncultured bacterium. Its description in RNAcentral is "partial 16S ribosomal RNA". It matches the Rfam family "Bacterial small subunit ribosomal RNA", at positions 28 to 507 of the family's 1533-position model. The record is from RNAcentral.